AUACGGAGGAUGCAAGCGUUAUCCGGAUUUAUUGGGUUUAAAGGGUGCGUAGGCGGAUGAUUAAGCGUGAGGUGAAAUGCCACUGCUCAACAGUGGAACUGCCUCGCGAACUGGUUGUCUUGAAUGCUCCUGCCGUGGGAGGAAUGUGUGGUGUAGCGGUGAAAUGCAUAGAGAUCACACAGAACACCGAUUGCGAAGGCAUCUCACGAAGGGGUGAUUGACGCUGAGGCACGAAAGCGUGGGGAUCAAACAGGAUUAGAUACCCUGGUAGUCCACGCAGUAAACGAUGAUAACUAACCGCUGGGUCGUAGUGAUUCAGUGGCCAAGCGAAAGCGAUAAGUUAUCCACCUGGGGAGUACGACCGCAAGGUUGAAACUCAAAUGAAUUGGCGG
Molecule: ribosomal RNA, 392 nt
Filed under: uncultured bacterium
Lineage: Bacteria
Description: partial 16S ribosomal RNA
Rfam family: Bacterial small subunit ribosomal RNA
Source: RNAcentral